UAACCUUUGAAACAUGAGAAGAAACAUCUCGGAUUCCUCGUUUGCCACACACAGAGAUCAAAUCAAAUCUUAUUAUAACUCUAUUUACCUAGGAAGAUCAUAGGACAGAAUGCUCCAUACCUUCACACAGAUUUCUUUCCCUCUAAAGCUUGUCCACCAUAGCAGCAGUUGGAAUGGAGUUGAACUCUGCCUUAAGUUGGACUAACAUGAUGGUCUAGGAAAGGAUUCCUUAAUGUGUUGUAUCAAUGUUUGCUUUUAUGAAGAAGUCAGUGUAUUGUUCUUCCUCCCAUUAAUAUCUGGCUCUUCUCAACUAUAAGUACCAAGUCACCAUGUCUGAAACCUUAGUCCUGAUAUCGCCAGCUUAUAGAAAAACCAGUAGGCAGAAUAAGUAUGGCUACUCAGAAGUCCUACAAACUCAUAUUCCUGAAAAGUGACCUUACCAAAUAAAUUGACCUUGCCAAAAAUAUAAGUCGGCCUUAAUGUUGAUAAUUAUUUAACAACCUGAAAUACAAAUAAGGCCUUACGAAUGAAGAAUAUACAAUCAUAUUGAAAAAAGACAACUGAGACCAACUCUGAUGGGCGUAUACAUCAUGAUAAGUGUGCAGAAUUGUAAAGUGGAGUAGUGAAUUGUUGUACUUCAUUAUACAUCAUGAUAUGUCCUCCUUUUGACAAGGUUUUAAUUAUCAAGGGAUUUAACAUGUAUGAAAUGCAUUAGUUGUGUGCUUUUUUCAAUGCAUUUUGUUAUUUUAUUAGCUGUAAUAAAUCUGGUUUAAACAAAGCAUUGACACUCGGUUGGUUAUGUACCUUUAGAUAUCCGAUUCUCAUAUAUGCACCAACAUCCUUACUAACCAGACUAAUAAUAUUUCAUAAAUAUUAUAAGGGCAAAGCAGCAAUUAUCCCACAAAAGGAAAGAAACACAAAACAAUACACAAUAUUUUUUUGUACUUACCUUAUGGACCAAAAAGUCAAUUGAAGGGUGCUUGAAAUG
Molecule: long non-coding RNA, 988 nt
Filed under: Aquilegia coerulea
Lineage: Eukaryota; Viridiplantae; Streptophyta; Magnoliopsida; Ranunculales; Ranunculaceae
Description: long non-coding RNA (ACOE_LNC002040)
Source: RNAcentral